RNAcentral lists this ribosomal RNA (403 nucleotides) under uncultured bacterium. RNAcentral describes it as "partial 16S ribosomal RNA". It matches the Rfam family "Bacterial small subunit ribosomal RNA", at positions 28 to 526 of the family's 1533-position model. The record is from RNAcentral.
GACGAACGCUGGCGGCGUGCCUAAUACAUGCAAGUCGAACGCAGUGGGGACGGGUGAGUAACACGUGGGUAACCUCCCAUCAGAGGGGAUAACACUUGGAAACAGGUGCUAAACCGAUACUGAUGGAUGGACCCGCGGUGCAUUAGCUAGUUGGGGGGGUAACGGCGCACCAAGGCCACGAUGCAUAGCCGACCUGAGGGGGUGAUGGGCCAAACUGGAACUGAGACACGGCCAAGACCCCUACGGGAGGAAGCAGUGGGGAAUCUUCGGCAAGGACCGAAAGUCUGACCGAGCAACGCCGCGGGAGUGAAGAAGGUUUUCGGAUCGUAAAACUCUGUUGUUGGGGAGGCGGUAUCUAAACAGAAAGCCACGGCUAACUACGUGCCAGCAGCCGCGGUAAUAC